AACGUAGGACACAAGCGUUAUCCGGAGUUACUGGGCGUAAAGGGCGCGUAGGUGGCCAACUAAGUCAGACGUGAAAUCCCUCGGCUUAACCGGGGAACUGCGUCUGAUACUGGAUGGCUUGAGUUUGGGAGAGGGACGCGGAAUUCCAGGUGUAGCGGUGAAAUGCGUAGAUAUCUGGAGGAACACCGGUGGCGAAGGCGGCGUCCUGGACCAAUACUGACACUGAACGCGAAAGCCAGGGAGCAAACGGG
This 251-nucleotide ribosomal RNA is filed under the name uncultured bacterium. RNAcentral describes it as "partial 16S ribosomal RNA". It matches the Rfam family "Bacterial small subunit ribosomal RNA", at positions 524 to 776 of the family's 1533-position model. The record is from RNAcentral.